Rhincodon typus (whale shark) is the source of this 1532-nucleotide long non-coding RNA. RefSeq lists it as uncharacterized. NCBI's taxonomy places the organism in Eukaryota, Metazoa, Chordata, Chondrichthyes, Orectolobiformes, Rhincodontidae. The transcript is spliced from 2 exons. The record is from RefSeq and is a predicted model, not a curated record.
CCAGAAGAUUCAGGUUUGGUCUCAUAUGCGCCGGAGAGUAACACGUCUAAACAGAUUGGGUUCUAUCAAUGUAAUAAAACUCUUAAAGGUUCCACAUACAGCAAUCAAACUUUAUGUAACGUUGUUACACUUAUAUGUAGCAUCAACUUUGAACUGCCUUGAGAUGCAUUUUUAUAAAUUUAAUCAAUAUAUUUUGGGGUUGGGGGAAAUGAAAUCUUACAAUUCUGAGCCUUUACACAGGUAAAUAAGGUUUUGCUAUAGUCACUGCUUAAUGGUGCAGCUAAAGGUGCUGGCUCGCAGCAUAGACUCCAACCGUGGCUCUAACAGGCUGGGGAAUUGUGCAGAUCUCCAGACGAGGGUUACAGCUGAACAAAUGUGCGCGCAGCACUGAAAAACCAACAGACAUUCGCUAAAGGGAAGCACAGCAAGGCGUCGAGCAAAAACGGCCGACAGCUGCUUUAUUGCACUCGAGCAAUAAAUUCCUCACUCUCACCAUGGAGUAUCCACAGAUCAGAUAAAAGAAAAGAAUUGCAAGGGGCUGGCGUGGGCACUGGUUUCCCUGUAAGAUGCGUGAAGCUGCUGAGAAUGAAACCAGGGCUCCUGUUUAACUUCCUGGAUUGCUCCUCGUCAAUUUCGGUGUGGCCGUCGUUGAAAUAACAGUUUCGUUUCGGUUCCUACUUGGGGAAGUUGCACCGAGCAGCGAGAACCUCGGUGGAAAUCAGUACACUUCAAGGGGACAUCUAAAACAUUGUGUGAGGAAUUAUUCUACAGUCCUCUGAACACAAGAAAACAGACCAAAGGAUGCCCCAAAAAACUCGGACUUUCUUUUAAUCAACCUGAUCAAGCAUCUUAAUGACACACACUCUGAAGCAAGCGGGACUUGAACCUGAACCCGGAUCUCCAGGAUCAGAGGUGAGGACUCCAAAGCAAUCGGAGAGACAACCUCAAAAGCUCUAAAUUGGACUUCAUUAUGCCUGGAGACAUCCAAAUGUUGAAGUUUCUGUCAUCAAGCAAUGUCAGAAAACAAGAGCCAAAUCUGUUUUCAACAGAGCCAGUUACACACUGCAAGGCCACUUCCCUCCAACACUACUUUCAAGUUUAUUAUUUGCAAUAGAAUUCACAAAUCAAAACUUGGCUUAUCGCGCGUGUGUCAAUACAAAUCUUGCCUGAAAAUUUUGUCUCCUUGCUCAGGCCCCCAUCCAUCAAAACAAUAAGAGAAUCCAUCAGUUUCAUUUGGAUAUCCUUUGUUGAUAGGACUGCAAGUGAGCAUUUGGCAAUGGAGGUGAUGUAAUGUUGACAGGAUUUGCAAAGAAACUUUUCAAAGGUAUGCUCACACCCAAAAAAUAAUGUUUCUUUUGUUCCACCACACUAUUAGUUUCUUACUCCAUUUGAUAUUAGAUAAUUAAGCAACCGAUUCCUCAAAUAUUAGUGAUUAGUGCGAGUAACGACUGAAUUGCUCACAAUCCACACAUAUAGUUCUGUAGUUUUCCCUGACCAGUCACUUCAAUAAAGUUUGAUGGUUUAUGCUUGAA